Long non-coding RNA from Pseudoliparis swirei, 1267 nucleotides. RefSeq lists it as uncharacterized. NCBI's taxonomy places the organism in Eukaryota, Metazoa, Chordata, Actinopteri, Perciformes, Liparidae. The transcript has 6 exons. The record is from RefSeq and is a predicted model, not a curated record.
UUUCACAGCAACUUAAAGACACAUUUGAGAGGGAAUUGUAUAACCUGUUUAACUUUAAAAUGACCAGAUUUGUUUUAAUCCAUUAAAAUACUAUCUUAAUGUAUAGCGUAGUGUUUUUAUUAAAGUUGCUAAAUUGUUUUCUAGUUGCUAAAUUGUUUUCAGAAGUUCUUGGAACAGAGUUAUAUUUCUGUGACUGAUGACUGAUUGAAUUCUUGGACAGCAAAACAGUAGCAGUCGUGCACAAAGCUGGUACAGUGGUGGUGGCUGCGUUUGGCCAGAUUACCCGAGGGAUGAAAGGGUGGACAAGGCGGUCCGAAGUGCCGAAGAACCUGAACCUGACUGGCAGACACAUUAUGUCAGAAUAAUUAGAUCAUGCGAUGAUUACUUGGUGGCAAGGCGAUGGUUAACAAAAUAUAUGUCCUGUGACACAUCUGAUCUCCAUUCAGAAGAGGAGGCAAUUCCUAAAAGGAGAAAGCCAAUGCCUGUCCAUUUCUUUGGGGACUCGGAUGCAGACAGCGAGACUGAAAAUCGCCACCCCAAAAAAAAAAAGGGUCCAACCACUAGCAGGACAGUUGCCCCUCCUCCAACUAUUGUCCCAUCUCCUCCACAGACUUCAUCACCAGCAGGACAGCGAACAAGCCAUGCAGGGUACACACCAACCUGGCGAGGGGCGAGGUGUGGUUCAGACACCAUUGCCUGCUGUGCUCAAAGAUCCAGCCAACGCUUUAAUGAAGAAGAGUGACUUCAUCACCAGCAGGACAGCGAACAAGCCAUGCAGGGUACACACCAACCUGGCGAGGGGCGAGGUGUGGUUCAGACACCAUUGCCUGCUGUGCUCAAAGAUCCAGCCAACGCUAUAAUGAAGGAGAGUGGUGAGUUGUUGUUUUUUUAACCCUUGUGUUGCCUUAGGGUCAUUUUGACCCGAUUCAAUGUUUCACCCUCCUGUUACCUUUAUAUUUACUAACAUAUUUUACCCUUAGGGUCAUUUUGACCCGAUUCAAUGUUUCACCCUCCUGUUACCUUUAUAUUUACUAACAUAUUUUACCCUUUGGGUUCAAUUUGACGCCAGCAAUUAAAACCUCCAGAAAAUUAUUAGAAUUAAUAUUGUUUUCCAAGUUUAAGUGUGAGGCACUUUAUGUUUGUUUGUUGACUACCGAAAGAACACCGACAUUAAACAUUGAAUGGGGUCAAAUUAAUCCUAAGGCGGGGGGAGGGUGUAAUAUUGAUUCGGGUCAAAAUGACCCUAAGGCAACACAAGGGUUAAGAA